RNAcentral lists this ribosomal RNA (770 nucleotides) under uncultured bacterium. Its description in RNAcentral is "bacterial SSU rRNA". It matches the Rfam family "Bacterial small subunit ribosomal RNA", at positions 64 to 831 of the family's 1533-position model. The record is from RNAcentral.
GAACGGCAGCACAGGAGUUGCUCCCGGUGGCGAGUGGCGCACGGGUGAGUAAUACAUCGGAACGUGUCCUGUUGUGGGGGAUAACUGCUCGAAAGGGUGGCUAAUACCGCAUGAGACCUGAGGGUGAAAGCGGGGGAUCGAACCUCGCGCAAUUGGAGCGGCCGAUGCCCGAUUAGCUAGUUGGUGAGGUAAAGGCUCACCAAGGCGACGAUCGGUAGCUGGUCUGAGAGGACGACCAGCCACACUGGGACUGAGACACGGCCCAGACUCCUACGGGAGGCAGCAGUGGGGAAUUUUGGACAAUGGGGGCAACCCUGAUCCAGCCAUGCCGCGUGCAGGAUGAAGGCCUUCGGGUUGUAAACUGCUUUUGUCAGGGACGAAAAGGACCGUGUUAAUACCAUGGUCUGCUGACGGUACCUGAAGAAUAAGCACCGGCUAACUACGUGCCAGCAGCCGCGGUAAUACGUAGGGUGCAAGCGUUAAUCGGAAUUACUGGGCGUAAAGCGUGCGCAGGCGGUUCUGUAAGACAGAUGUGAAAUCCCCGGGCUUAACCUGGGAAUUGCAUUUGUGACUGCAGGACUAGAGUUCAUCAGAGGGGGGUGGAAUUCCAAGUGUAGCAGUGAAAUGCGUAGAUAUUUGGAAGAGCACCAAUGGCGAAGGCAGCCCCCUGGGAUGCGACUGACGCUCAUGCACGAAAGCGUGAGGAGCAAACAGGAUUAGAUACCCUGGUAGUCCACGCCCUAAACGAUGUCUACUGGUUGUUGGGGUUU